This 73-nucleotide transfer RNA is filed under the name Micromonas commoda. Its description in RNAcentral is "tRNA-Asn (GTT) (tRNA-Asn-GTT-1-1)". It matches the Rfam family "tRNA". From Rfam's summary of the family: Transfer RNA (tRNA) molecules are approximately 80 nucleotides in length. Their secondary structure includes four short double-helical elements and three loops (D, anti-codon, and T loops). The record is from Rfam by way of RNAcentral. Lineage: Eukaryota; Viridiplantae; Chlorophyta; Mamiellophyceae; Mamiellales; Mamiellaceae.
UCCUCUAUAGCUCAGUUGGUAGAGCGUGCGGCUGUUAACCGCAAGGUCGUAGGUUCGAUCCCUGCUGGAGGAG